RNAcentral lists this ribosomal RNA (459 nucleotides) under uncultured bacterium. RNAcentral's name for it is "partial 16S ribosomal RNA". It matches the Rfam family "Bacterial small subunit ribosomal RNA", at positions 338 to 795 of the family's 1533-position model. The record is from RNAcentral.
CCUACGGGGGGCAGCAGUGAGGAAUAUUGGUCAAUGGACGGAAGUCUGAACCAGCCAUGCCGCGUGCAGGAUGACGGCUCUAUGAGUUGUAAACUGCUUUUGUAUUAGGGUAAACACCCCUACGUGUAGGGGCUUGAAAGUAUAAUACGAAUAAGGAUCGGCUAACUCCGUGCCAGCAGCCGCGGUAAUACGGAGGAUGCGAGCGUUAUCCGGAUUUAUUGGGUUUAAAGGGUGCGUAGGCGGGAUGCCAAGUCAGCGGUAAAAAUGCGGUGCUCAACGCCGUCGAGCCGUUGAAACUGGCGUUCUUGAGUGGGCGAGAAGUAUGCGGAAUGCGUGGUGUAGCGGUGAAAUGCAUAGAUAUCACGCAGAACUCCGAUUGCGAAGGCAGCAUACCGGCGCCCUACUGACGCUGAGGCACGAAAGCGUGGGUAUCGAACAGGAUUAGAUACCCUGGUAGUC